AGAUGUUUAAUUUGAAAAUGUGGUCACGUUUGGAGAUCACCUCAGUGAGUACUGACCCACAAGUCGGUAAGAUGGCGUUCGUACACUAAAGUAGCGUGGAAGCGUCAAAAGCGAGUAUGAGUUUGGUUACUUUAAUAGGCUUGUUAACAUGUUUAGUAUUAUUGUUGUCCGGUGCUGGACGUGUCAUAGCCUCUGAAUGUGUUUGCACACCCAGCCAUGAAGCAACACCAGUGUACAGAAAAUCAGAUUCGUUGUCCGAAAUAGUUGGUCAUAUUAGUACAAACACGUGUUUGCAUGGUGAAUUGGUAAAGGGAAAGGAUUGGCUUUGUUUGUUAGGCAGUUCGUACUAUUAUAUCAACAUAAAGAAACUGAUAGCUUGCCCAAAUGACAGAGAA
Molecule: long non-coding RNA, 395 nt
Organism: Dreissena polymorpha
Lineage: Eukaryota; Metazoa; Mollusca; Bivalvia; Myida; Dreissenidae
Exons: 3
Source: RefSeq, a predicted model, not a curated record